GGGUAAAGUUAAUAAAUUCCUUGAGCUUCUCGUCUCCAAGAUAUGACUUUAAGCUCUGUUUCCCAAUAAGCUUGCCAUCUUUAUGUGCUACAAGGCCAUUUUCAGAGAAAACAUAAUCGUAGUCCUUUGUAACUGUAUUGCCAAGCUGUUCUGAUAUCUUUACAAGGUCAGAACCUCCAACAACUCCAACAGUAACAACCUUUCUAAGUUCCUGCAUGAAUUUCAACAUUUGUGGAGUAGAUUCCUUUCUGGGUGCGGUAAGAGUCCCAUCAACAUCAAACAGAGCAAUUAAACCAGCUUUCCUUGCAGCCAUUUUUGAUCUUUCUAUACUUCUCCCCAACUCUUCACAGUAUUUAACAGCUAAACAUUCAACCUUAUCAAGUAUUCUGCAAUCGACGGGCAAUGAAAUUCGCCGGUGACGGCCCGGCAAGAAAUCACCGGAUUCUGAAUCUGAAUCUGAAUCUCAAUCUUCGACGUAGAAUUAAAGAGAUGUUUGAGAAUGAAGAGAAAUUGCUUUACUU
RNAcentral lists this unclassified non-coding RNA (521 nucleotides) under Hevea brasiliensis (rubber tree). The record is from RNAcentral. Lineage: Eukaryota; Viridiplantae; Streptophyta; Magnoliopsida; Malpighiales; Euphorbiaceae.